This 497-nucleotide ribosomal RNA is filed under the name uncultured bacterium. RNAcentral's name for it is "partial 16S ribosomal RNA". It matches the Rfam family "Bacterial small subunit ribosomal RNA", at positions 28 to 507 of the family's 1533-position model. The record is from RNAcentral.
GAUGAACGCUGGCGGCGUGCCUAAUACAUGCAAGUCGAGCGAAAAGAUAAGGAGCUUGCUCCUUUGACGGUAGCGGCGGACGGGUGAGUAACACGUCGGUAACCUACCUAUAGGACUGGAAUAACUACGGGAAACCGGGGCCAAUGCCGGAUAACACUUAGAACCGGAUGGGUCUAAAGUGAAAGAUGGGUGUGCUAUCACUUAUAGAUGGAUCCGCGCCGUAUUGGCUAGUUGGUAAGGUAACGGCUUACCAAGGCGACGAUACGUAGCCGACGUGAGAGAGUGAUCGGCCACACUGGAACUGGGACACGGUCCAUACUCCUACGGGAGGCAGCAGUAGGGAAUCUUCCGCAAUGGGCGGAAGCCUGGCGGAGCGACGCCGCGUGAGUGAUGAAGGUCUUCGGAUCGUAAAACUGUGUUAUGAGGGAAGAACCAAUGUGUAAGUAACUGUGCACGUCUUGACGGUAGCUAAUCAGAAAGCCCCGGCUAACUACGUG